This 520-nucleotide ribosomal RNA is filed under the name uncultured Glomus. RNAcentral describes it as "SSU rRNA". It matches the Rfam family "Eukaryotic small subunit ribosomal RNA", at positions 569 to 1092 of the family's 1831-position model. Lineage: Eukaryota; Fungi; Glomeromycota; Glomeromycetes; Glomerales; Glomeraceae. The record is from RNAcentral.
AGCAGCCGCGGUAAUUCCAGCUCCAAUAGCGUAUAUUAAAAGUUGUUGCAGUUAAAAAGCUCGUAGUUGAAUUUCGGGAUCAGUAUGUUGGUCGUGCUUCGGUACGUACUGUCAUUACUGGUUUCUACCUUCUGAAGAACCUUGAUGUCAUUAAUUUGGUGUCUUGGGGAAUCAGGACUGUUACUUUGAAAAAAAUUAGAGUGUUUAAAGCAAGCAUACGCUUGAAUACAUUAGCAUGGAAUAAUGAAAUAGGACGUUUGAUUCUAUUUUGUUGGUUUCUAGGAUCGACGUAAUGAUUAAUAGGGAUAGUUGGGGGCAUUAGUAUUCAAUUGUCAGAGGUGAAAUUCUUGGAUUUAUUGAAGACUAACUACUGCGAAAGCAUUUGCCAAGGAUGUUUUCAUUAAUCAAGAACGAAAGUUAGGGGAUCGAAGACGAUCAGAUACCGUCGUAGUCUUAACCAUAAACUAUGCCGACUAGGGAUCGGAUGAUGUUAUUUUUAUGACUCAUUCGGCGCCUUAAC